CACACACACACACACACACACACACACACACACACACACACACACACACACACACACACACACAUACACACCCCUUGUCAAUCAAAUUCAAACCAUUUUCAUAUUUUUCUUGAUACAUUUUGGGACCGAUAAUGUGCUGUGAUUUUUGUAGUUUCCCAGAUUAUCAAUCUCUUCAAUUUUGAUAAAUUUUUUUCUGUUAAUAUACAAUACAGAUAUUUUGUCAUUUUGAGAACGCAAAUAUCUGCUGACCUUCUCCCCGAAGUCGAAGCAGGGCGAGGGGAAGGUCAUGUCCUGGCUGCUGAAGGACAGUCGACGGAGGUCUUGUGGAUGAGGGCGUCGCCUCAUUCCGGGGUCAGGAUCCUCCGCUUCUCCAUGUAGACGCACACGUUGGGGUAGGAGCCCAAAGGUCAACAGGCUGACCACCACAUCCAGACCGUUGUCUGCCCCCUCCGCGUUCAACACCCGGCUCAUCAGACCCUCUGAUAAACACACUCAUGGUUCUCAGGUUAGACACACGUCAUACGAUGACCGAUGACCAACAUUUCAGACCGACUCCAUCCGGAGGCCAAAUGUCGAUGAAAUGCAAGAAAAGCAACGGAGCUACGAUGUCUGGAUGCAGGGGUUUGACUCAGGGCAGAGCAAGCAGGGGCUGGGGGAAUAGGAAUCCAUUCAUGGGAGAAUCGGGACUCUUUGAUUAAGCGAUACUUGAUUGAGCAACGUUGUCAGGUUGACACAAAUCAGUACUUUCCUAUAGAGUGCGCUCUAUAGGAAGGUACUGAUUUGUGUCUGGUGUGCGUGACACACACGCACACCAGAAGAGAAGACUAGAAUAGAGUUGAUUUCUAAAAUUAAUGGUUUGGUCAUGUGCUGUUUAAUUCAAACCACAUCGUAUAACAUUUAUAGCGCCUAGAAGGGCUGCAAUAGUAACUAGGGCCCCAUCCUAUUAUUCCCCCUAGCCCUAGAUUUGAGCCCUAGCCCUAGAAGUUGUGCGUUCCCUCGGAGGGGUAGGGUGAUCCAAUACUUAGGGGCAAGAGAGAGGGCCUAUUUCCCCUUAAAGUCCCUUGGCAGCUCGCCAGCUCGGUACCUCACUUACAGCCAAGGGAGUAUCACGUAUGACCCAGGACACGUUGAGAACUCAGCAAGCGGCUAUUUUUCCAUGUUUCUCAAACAGUUAAACAUUAUGUUAAAUUAUUUAUCCGUAUACUGGAUUUAACUGUACGAUCUGAAUGUGUAGGUUGUCUUAUUUUCGACACAAGGCUGACAUUAUCAAACGUGAAUAAAAAUAGUAGUAGGCUCCUUCCUGUAGUGUAGACACGUCGGUGCUGCGCGUGACGUAGGGGAGCACGUUCACUACGCUAAUCUGCAUAAUAUUAAUUAUAGUGGUGUCACAUUUCAUAGGGAACGAUCUUCACUAUCACUUCACUCUUUAUUGUGGAGGGAAGUGUUCUCGUUAAGGGGAGAGGAAUGGGACAGGGCCUAGUACUCAUCUAACGAAGCAAGGAUCAACAAUAUAAAGUCACUAGUUAAAAUAGUAACAGGUAACUGUUGGAAAAGAGACGAGUAACUUCAAUACAAGCACUAGUAACUCAAAUGAGUUUGGCUUCUGGACGCAGUGUUCAAACAUAGAUACAGAAUAGAUGGGAAUGAGCGCUGGUGGUGGGGACCAUGACACCCACUUGAAGAGGCCUCCCAUGAUCAUCAUCCCCUCCCCCCUCCCCCUCUUCCUCCUCCCCCACCACCUCCACCGCCUCCUCCUCCUUCUUCACCUCCUUGUCCCCCUCCUCCUCUUCCCCUCCCCCUCCUCUAUGAUAUGUAAACGAGCGGUUAUGGUGGGAGCAGGACGCUCCCUUGAAGAUGCCUCCCAUGACCAUCAUCUCGCCCAGGCGGGGCUCCACGGUGGGCCACGGGGCGUCCCAGAGAGGGCAGCUCGUCGUUGCUGUCCACAGCGUCCACUUCUGGUGGACCAACCCCAAGGAAACAUCAACAAUCCCCACAGAGUGGAUGACGUACACCGCGUCGUUGAGGGUGAUGCUGGUCUAUGCGAUGUUGGUGGACAGGACGACCUGCAGGAGGCAGGGAACAACAACAGGAGAUGGACCGGCAAGGGUGGAUUCCAGGCAGCUGGGCAGGCAGAGGAGCACACGGGGUGGAUGGCAGGCAGCUACGGGGUUGGUGAUCCUGGGCCGAGGACAACGCGGAGAGUUAAAGGUCCCAUGACAUGCCACCAGGUGUGGUGUGAUUAGCCGUUACAAGCCGUUUUGGAAAUCGGCCCCUUAUGACAUCACAGGUGGGCGUGUCCACCUAGAUGUGUGCUGGAUAGAUCAGUCUACCAGCCUACCCAGUGGACUGUAGCAAACGUUGCUCAUCUCUCCGUCACACAUCUAGGUGGACACGCCCACCUGUGAUGUCGGAAAAUUGUUUCUUUGUGUUCUGUUGGGAACAACAAGUCAACAUUCUUCCCUUUAGUUAAAGUCUCUAGUCACCCCUUCAUCAGUGUGUGGAGAGGUUAUUUCCACACACACAACAGUGGAGUCUGAACACAUACGCAUAUACUAAAACAAAAUUCAAGUUAUGCAAGGGCGCACCAUCAGUGAGGAUUGAUUCAACACCAGUAAGACACCAGUGAGACACCAGGGGGACACCAGUGAGACACCAGUAAGACACCAGUGGGACACCAUGCAGUGAGACACCAGGGGAACACCAGUGAGACACCAGUGGGACACCAGUAAGACACCAGUGAGACCCCAGUGAGACACCAGUGGGACACCAGUGAGACGUUCUGCCAUUCUUCCAGAACAAACAAAGGACUGAGGCCUCCUCAGUGCUGCCCCUGCUGGCCGGACCUCCACACUGCAGUCAUGUCCAGUAGAUAGACGAUAGCCCAGAGCAGCGGGCCGCGCCCUCAUUCUCACCGCUCCCCUGAUCCUCACCCCCUGAGAGGGUCCUAAACGCUGGGCCUUCUCUUUAGUCCUGGGGGGCUCUCCCUCACAGCAGAGGGUCCUAAACGCUGGGCCUUCUCUUUAGUCCUGGGGGGCUCUCCCUC
This is a long non-coding RNA of Gadus macrocephalus (Pacific cod), 3043 nucleotides long. RefSeq lists it as uncharacterized. The transcript has 3 exons. Lineage: Eukaryota; Metazoa; Chordata; Actinopteri; Gadiformes; Gadidae. The record is from RefSeq and is a predicted model, not a curated record.